Molecule: non-coding RNA, 214 nt
Organism: Paramuricea clavata
Lineage: Eukaryota; Metazoa; Cnidaria; Anthozoa; Malacalcyonacea; Plexauridae
Source: the annotation of a GenBank genome assembly
UUAAGGUUACAGGACACCCUUUUUGGCGUUUUGCGGAAAAUCGCUACUGCGCGCUCAAUAUCAGUCCGAUUUUCAUCAAAUUUUCACCAAAUGUUUCUCAGUGCAUGCAAAAUAUGGUAAAGUUGUAAAAUUAACAAACAAUAAAAUAAUGUAAGAGUUAUUCAGGAAAAUCUUAAAUCGCGGUACCUUUACGCUUUUGAGUUGUGCUCCUGCU